CCGACCGGAGACGGAAGGAGUGCUUUUAUUAGAUCAAAACCAAUCGGUGGCGGGUUCGCUCGUUAUCGUACAACUUGGUGACUCUGAAUAACUUUACGCUGAUCGCACGGUCAUCGCACCGGCGACGCAUCUUUCAAAUGUCUGCCUUAUCAACUGUCGAUGGUAGGUUCUGCGCCUACCAUGGUUGUAACGGGUAACGGGGAAUCAGGGUUCGAUUCCGGAGAGGGAGCCUGAGAAACGGCUACCACAUCCAAGGAAGGCAGCAGGCGCGCAAAUUACCCACUCCCGGCACGGGGAGGUAGUGACRAAAAAUAACGAUACGGGACUCAUCCGAGGCCCCGUAAUCGGAAUGAGUACACUCUAAACCCUUUAACGAGGAUCAAUUGGAGGGCAAGUCUGGUGCCAGCAGCCGCGG
RNAcentral lists this ribosomal RNA (415 nucleotides) under Trigonopterus cricki. RNAcentral's name for it is "SSU rRNA". It matches the Rfam family "Eukaryotic small subunit ribosomal RNA", at positions 184 to 581 of the family's 1831-position model. Lineage: Eukaryota; Metazoa; Arthropoda; Insecta; Coleoptera; Curculionidae. The record is from RNAcentral.